ACUCAUGAGCAUGACUGAUUGUGAUGACUCUGUCAGUAGUCAGUAUACUGGCUCUUGGUAUUGGCUGUCACUGUCAGUCCUGUCACUCUGAAUGUCUGAAAUAAGUGACAAGCUCUGUAGUUUAACGUAUGGCAACAAAGCCUUUGUUGAUGAAGUUACGAACACCUGAAAACGUAACGUCUGGGACGAAGACCUUUAUAGUCCGUCAUGAGCCUUAGGUGCUUGUUCGUGGUUUCUAUAACGGAAUCAAAGCUUCUUUUCUACAGAAUAUUCCCGACUGUCGAAAAACGUUGGAAAAAUGAACACCCAAACUUCGCCAACCUAUGCCUUCCCAAUGACCAAGAAUUAUUGGAUCCAUUAUUAAACGAACUUGGAAUCCUGAAUCCCAACAUAUUUCAGAUCACCAGGGACUCUUGUCAGAAAAAGCUUCAGGCACCUCUUUUUUGGAUUCCAUUUAGUUUUAACCCCCAAAUCUUUUGGCCAGUUAUAGUUGUUGAGUGCCACCAAAAUCGCUUAUUAUGUGGUGUUCCAUAUUUGGAUCAAAAUCUUCAACCAUCUGGAAAUCAACAAUCAAUGUGUGUUGCAAGGUCAUGUGAUGUUGUAAUAGUUUUGGAAUUGCUUUCCAAGCUUGUUCAUCUCAUUCAGCUCCCACCCAGUAAAAUGGCUGACCAACUAAAUAGAACCAUCCAACAAUGGCUUCCUUUUGGGAGGGCCAGCGGUUACCAACAGCUAGAACUGCGAAGCCUUCCUCCGGCCUCACAAAAAACGAUGUGGCUAAGGUCGAGGCCGAAAAUUGAACUGCAAAUAAAAGAAGAAGUUCGAAUGAUAGCGUCAAAUCUAUCAGUUAAAGCAGACGCGUAUGGAACUAUUUACCUGACGGUAGAUCCAGAUGCCGAGUGCAAUAAUAACAUCAAACUAGAAUUGGGCUUUAGCAAGCUGCCUGGAAUACCAUCAGCGCUCUUUCAUCCAAGUGCUCUUGCCCAGUGGGAAAAAGCUGUUUGUCACAUAAACAUCCAGCAACUUCAAGAGAAAACCUUUCCUCUUUGCCAUUAUAGCUUUCCGUUAGAAAUGCCACCUAUUCAACCUGUGCUGAAAAUCCGAAUAGGGGAGCUAGGUAAAGUUUCUAUUUUCAUUCAGCUACACCUUGGUGCCACCACGAGAAAUACGCUGAAUCGGUUGGAGGUCCGUUUACCUAUGCCAACCGGUAAUCGUAUUGCUCGAAUCCUAACGGCUACCAGCCUUGGCUUGGUAUCAUUGAUUAAAGAUGGUACUCAGCUUUUAUGGAAUCUUGGUGCUUUCGCCUCAUCUUCGUCAAAUGCAAAGUUGAAGGACGACUUGACCUUAAAUGUCGACGUCGUUAUGGAGAAACUUGAAGCGUCGCUUGUGAAUACCCAUGCUCUUUAGUCUCCGUCUCAGGAGCACAUCUAUCUUUGCUACAACCAACGGAAUUCAAAUUAGUAUCAACAUCAGAGCUGAAGAGCUCCACCUACCGCGUAUGGAAUCAAGACGCAGAAGAAAUCGUUUAAAAUUUUUAAUCAGUUCAUCUGGGCCCCCUUGUCCUCCUCAUGCAAGGUAAUUUUUUGUAUUUCUUUACGGUUGGUCGAUAAUAAUAAUAGUAAUAGCAUUA
This 1627-nucleotide unclassified non-coding RNA is filed under the name Daphnia magna. RNAcentral describes it as "uncharacterized LOC116919203, transcript variant X1". Lineage: Eukaryota; Metazoa; Arthropoda; Branchiopoda; Diplostraca; Daphniidae. The record is from RNAcentral.